Molecule: non-coding RNA, 1792 nt
Organism: Cyanistes caeruleus (blue tit)
Lineage: Eukaryota; Metazoa; Chordata; Aves; Passeriformes; Paridae
Source: RefSeq, a predicted model, not a curated record
UGUUGAGACUGGGAGGUAAUGUCCCGAGUCGGAACGGGCCCGCGAGGGUCAUCGGGUCCAGCUCUUGCACGAAGCACCUCAAAAGUUACACCAUGUGCCUGAGUCCAUUGUUCCAAUGCGUCUCCAACUCUCGUUAGGCUUAGUGUUGUGACCACUUCCGGGGAGAGCUCGUUCCAGUGCCUAACCACCUUCUGGUUGGAAAGCCUUUUCCUAAAAGCCAGCCUAAACCUCUUCUGACACCACUUCAGGCCGUUCCCUCCAGUCCUGUCACUGGACGCUGUAGAGAAGAGAUCAGUGCGUGACUUUGCCCUUUCUCUCAUGAGGAAAUUGUGAACUGCAACGAGGUCUCUCCUCAGUGUCCUCCAAGAUGAAAAGUGCCUUUACAAAAGCCAGCUAAUUAGUUGCUGAUGACACAAAAGUGGAGGAGUGGCUGAUACUACAGUGGGUCAUGCUGCCAUGAAGAAGGACUUCAACAGGCUGGAGAAAUGAGCCAAGGAGAGCCCAGAAAAGUUCACCAAGGGAAAUUGUUCCAAUUAAUUUCAGUUUGCGUUUUAUGUUUUCAAAGGCCAUGGCUGCCCGACUGUUCUUCGGUGUGGUGCGAAACAUCAUCAUCCAGUACCCGCAGAUGGUCAAUAGGGAGCUGGAUGAGGCCACACGCCUGUUCAGGUGGUGAGAAGGUGCUGUAAGGUCUCUCUGGAGCCUCUCCAGGUUGAACAACCCCAGAUCUCGCAGCCUGACUUCAUAGAAGAGGUGUUCCAGCCCUGUAAAACUUAGUGGCCCUCCUCUGGACUCAUUCCAACAGGUCCAUGCCUUUCUUGUGUUAGGGGCCCCAGACCUGGACAUAAGUACUCCAGGUGGGGGUUGCCACAGUGGUGUUGAUGGCAGGGUGCCGUGACUACCCUGAAGAAGCUGUCCUGAAAAGGACUGCCCGGGGGCACUGGCAUGUCCCUUGCCCAGCAAGUGAUCUCAGCUCAGCAGCAGCUCGCAGGCAAUGUGGAGAGAGAGACAAAAGUGCUGUGUGGCAUUCUACAGAGAAACAGCUUUCAUUAAAGCAGGGCCCUCUGUGAAAGGAGCCAGUGGCACCUCUACUCCAAACUGGGGAAAAAAACUGGGGUUUAUAUAGGGGAGGAGAGAGGAGGGGGAAACAUGGAUACAUGUAUCAGGGUGGAUUGAUGGGGAGGAAAACCAAUGGGGUGCAACAAAUUAACAUGCUUAACUCAAGAAAUUCUGGGAGCGACACUUGUCUCUCUGUGAGAGCGAAGUGCCUCGCCUGGGGAGAAGCUCUCCAAGGGAGAGCCAAGGUAUCUUAGUUGGGGGAUACUUCAGCCCCCACAGGGGUCUCAUGAGAGUGGAGUACAGGGGAAGAAUCACCUCCCUUGACCUGCUGGCCACACUUUUUUUGAUGGAGCCCAAGACACAGCUGGGCUUUCUGGGCUGUGAGUGCACACUGCUGAGACAUGUCAGGCUUUUUGUCCUUUCUCAGCCCAGCCCAUACCUGUGCUUGGGAUUGCUCUUACCUGGGUGCAGGACCUUGCGCUUGGCCUUGUUGAACUUCAGGAAGUUUGCAUGGGCCCACCUUUCAAGCCUAUCGAGGUCCCUCUGGGUGGUAUCCCUCCUGUCCAGCAUGUUACCACACCACAUAGCUUGGUGCUGUCAGUAAACUUGCUGAGGGUACACUCGAUCCUACUAUCCACGUCACCAACCAAGAUGUUAAACUGACUGGUCCCAAUACUGGUAUCUGUGGCUACGUAAAGACCAUUCAGCCCUAACACUAAUAAACAAAAUAAAGUCA